This 253-nucleotide ribosomal RNA is filed under the name uncultured prokaryote. Its description in RNAcentral is "partial 16S ribosomal RNA". It matches the Rfam family "Bacterial small subunit ribosomal RNA", at positions 524 to 776 of the family's 1533-position model. The record is from RNAcentral.
UACGAGGGGUGCAAGCGUUGCUCGGAAUUAUUGGGCGUAAAGGGUAGGUAGGUGGACUCAUUUGUCCGGGGUGAAAGCCUUGAGCUUAACUCAAGAAGUGCCUCGGAAACGGUGAGACUGGAGUCUUGGAGAGGGUCGUGGAAUUCCCGGUGUAGCGGUGAAAUGCGUAGAGAUCGGGAGGAACACCAGAGGCGAAGGCGGCGACCUGGACAAGUACUGACACUCAACUACGAAAGCGUGGGGAGCAAACGGG